GCUUUCGUGGUGUAGUGCUCAGCACGCUCCACGCGUAUUCGAGAGGUCCGUGGUUCGAAUCCCGGCGAGGGCA
Non-coding RNA from Stegodyphus mimosarum, 73 nucleotides. Lineage: Eukaryota; Metazoa; Arthropoda; Arachnida; Araneae; Eresidae. The record is from Rfam.